GAUGAAGAACGUAGCGAAAUGCGAUAAGUAAUGUGAAUUGCAGAAUUCAGUGAAUCAUCGAAUCUUUGAACGCACAUUGCGCCCGCCAGUAUUCUGGCGGGCAUGCCUGUUCGAGCGUCAUUUCAACCAUCAAGCCCCCGGCUUGUGUUGGGGACCUGCGGCUGCCGCAGGCCCUGAAAAGCAGUGGCGGGCUCGCUGUCACACCGAGCGUAGUAGAUUUCAUCUCGCUCAGGGCGUGCUGCGGGUUCCGGCCGUUAAACCACCUUCAUAACCCAAGGUUGACCUCGGAUCAGGUAGGAAGACCCGCUGAACUUAAGCAUAUCAAUAAGCGGACGA
Molecule: unclassified non-coding RNA, 336 nt
Filed under: soil metagenome
Description: partial contains 5.8S ribosomal RNA, internal transcribed spacer 2, and large subunit ribosomal RNA
Rfam family: 5.8S ribosomal RNA (bases 1-120)
Source: RNAcentral